AACCUUAAGCAAGGAUUUGUCUGUUGGAUAUAGGGAUUGAGGCAGCUCAGGAUAAUUAUUGAUCUACCUGCUGCCCCAUAUGAGGAACAUUGAGUCGCUUUUGUUACUUUCCAGAAGGAAACUGAUAAUAAUCUACCAUCUUGUUAGGAGCAUUGCGGUGAAGAAAUUCAUCGUGCAUGAGGACGAGCUUCUUGUUUGAGACUCGUGUCUUUGUCUUGUUACGGCCAGAUAACAAAUUGACUAGUAGUAGAUUAUUAUCAGUUUCCUUCUGGAAAG
This 276-nucleotide unclassified non-coding RNA is filed under the name Hevea brasiliensis (rubber tree). The record is from RNAcentral. Lineage: Eukaryota; Viridiplantae; Streptophyta; Magnoliopsida; Malpighiales; Euphorbiaceae.